Molecule: long non-coding RNA, 963 nt
Organism: Rosa rugosa (rugosa rose)
Lineage: Eukaryota; Viridiplantae; Streptophyta; Magnoliopsida; Rosales; Rosaceae
Exons: 4
Source: RefSeq, a predicted model, not a curated record
AAUUCAGAGCUUUUCUCCUCAAGAGCUACUGUUGGAAAUUGGUAUAGAGACUUGUCCUAGUUUUAUUUUGUGUUGUCUAUUUAAUUUUUGCUUGCAAUGGCGUGCUUUUGUAACUGAUUUGCAUGUUGCAGGAUUGAAUAUUUUUUUUUUUUUUUGGUUGCAGGAUUUUGGUUUGGGUACACUUGUGACUAUCUUGUGGAUUUUCUUAUUGCAGGUAAUUGCUUUAUUUCCCAUCGUCUUAAAAUGUAGAUGAUUUUCCACUGAUUUUUGCUGUUUGUUAUUGGUUGCACUAUUGGUAGUGAGAUUGUUUUCAUACAGAGGCUGCAUCAUAUAGUAUUGCUGUGAGGAUGAAGGUUGUGUGACUACACCAAGAGAUUGGGAAACUGCAGAUCGGACCACAUAUUGUAAUCACGCAUGAUUUGAACUUUUCAUGCAAAUCUAGUCUGCAAAUAGUGUGUUCGAUUCCUGUGAGGAUGAUAAUGAUUGUAUUCAAAAUGAUAAAGUGAGCCUAGGAGCUGAUUCAAUGCAAAUGGAUGGGUCUUUUGAAUCUGACAGUUAGGUUCACUAAUGAUUAAAGGAUCGGUACAUAGUUGCCUAUAUAGAUGACCGCAUGAUUGGGGAGCAGCUAAGAGAUCAACCGGGCGGGAUUUCAUCACCGAAUGGAGGGAGGUAGCGUCUCUGCACUUCUUACUUCUUCUGGUUACAUAUGUUACCUUUAAGGAAUUCAAGGAGCAACAGAUACAAAUUUCUCUUGGGAUUACCGUUAAGAGCCCACUUGAAAGGUAUAUUCACAAGUCAUGAGCUUGUUAAUCCUCAGGUAUCAUAUUAAGUUAGUAUCAAUAGGUUAAUGUAAGGAUGUUGAUCGUAUUAAGUUGUUUUUUUUUUUCCCUACUUUAUGAAAAAGAAAAUUUGGCAUUGGAAUUUGAGCAUGAUGUUCUUAACAAAAACAAAUUGAUGAUGUUC